UACGUAGGGUGCGAGCGUUGUCCGGUAUUAUUGGGCGUAAAGAGCUUGUAGGCGGUCUGUCGCGUCUGCUGUGAAAAUCCGGGGCUCAACCCCGGACUUGCAGUGGGUACGGGCAGACUAGAGUGUGGUAGGGGAGACUGGAAUUCCUGGUGUAGCGGUGAAAUGCGCAGAUAUCAGGAGGAACACCGAUGGCGAAGGCAGGUCUCUGGGCCACUACUGACGCUGAGAAGCGAAAGCAUGGGGAGCGAACAGG
This 253-nucleotide ribosomal RNA is filed under the name uncultured bacterium. Its description in RNAcentral is "partial 16S ribosomal RNA". It matches the Rfam family "Bacterial small subunit ribosomal RNA", at positions 524 to 776 of the family's 1533-position model. The record is from RNAcentral.